UCCCUGAGAGUUGUCCCUAAGGAUAACUUGUUAGUUCUCCUUGGCCGGCAAUUAUUUCAAUAAUCGUUUUUUGCAUCUGAAAGACUGAAACUACCUACAUAAUUGCUUGGAUUGGAAAACUUUUAGGUUACGUCUUUGCAGUUCACCACCUGACAGGACGCCAUGCCCCUCUAGAAUGAGUGCAUUAGAGCAGUCGAUUCGCAGAUAUGCAGAUGAGCCUACUAAAAGUGUAAUAAGACCAGAACUAGGCUUGAGUUUGGAUUCACUUGGCGAGACGUACGACUUUUACAACUUGUAUUUCUGCUAGAUUGGAUUCAAUCAGGUAUGGCAAGAACAGAUGGGACGCCGACAGGACCAAAUCAAUGCAAGAGCAUUUGCGGCUGCUCGGGGAAGCCAGAGCAGAUUGUGUUGCGAGUACCCUGCGUUGAUGAGGCUCCUGUGUGUGUCCGAAUGCACUACUGGUUCUUCAGGGAUGUGGUAACAUUCGACAUGUCAUACUAACAAUCAUUUUCAAAGCAUUAUAUGACUGGUGUGCUGAUGCAAGAUGAGCGACUAGAGAGCUUCGAAAAUGUGUUUUCGCAGAGUUUCUCCGGAUGAUGGGAGGCCCGACCCCUAAGAAUCCUCACAGAGCAGAACAGAGCUAAGGAUGCAAGAGACAUACUGCCCGGGCACCGCGUUCAGUACCAGUAGGAUGGUACGGUUAAUAUGUCUUUCACAUGCAGGCAUUCGAUGCUAUACUUGUAGGCUAUGGAUGUCAUG
Aegilops tauschii subsp. strangulata is the source of this 759-nucleotide long non-coding RNA. RefSeq lists it as uncharacterized. The record is from RefSeq and is a predicted model, not a curated record. NCBI's taxonomy places the organism in Eukaryota, Viridiplantae, Streptophyta, Magnoliopsida, Poales, Poaceae.